UAUCCCUACCAACUCUACAUUGCUCCUUCCACCAGCAGUACAGAACGACCAAGUCCAAAUGGUCCCGACAGACCUUUUCAGUGUCCAACCUGCGGGGUGCGAUUCACCCGUAUUCAGAACCUAAAGCAGCACAUGCUCAUCCACUCAGGAAUUAAACCAUUUCAGUGUGACCGCUGUGGGAAAAAGUUCACCAGGGCUUACUCGCUAAAGAUGCAUCGCCUAAAGCAUGAAGGUAAACGCUGUUUCCGGUGCCAGAUAUGUAGUGCCACUUUCACUUCCUUCGGGGAAUAUAAACACCACAUGAGGGUUUCCCGGCACAUUAUCCGCAAGCCUCGGAUUUACGAGUGCAAAACAUGUGGCGCCAUGUUCACCAACUCUGGAAAUUUAAUCGUGCACCUGAGGAGUCUGAACCAUGAAGCAUCAGAGCUAGCAAACUACUUCCAGAGCAGGUGAGGUGCACAACGAAAACCCAACCAGGAAAACUGCUUUCUAAACUCUCUUUUCCUGCUUUUAGGGCAGCCUUCUGUGUUUUUACAUCAGGUUGCCAGCUAGUCAGUCACAUUUGUUACAGAUUCCCACUGUUCAUACUCUAAUCUCCUGAUCUGAUAAAA
RNAcentral lists this small RNA (611 nucleotides) under Pongo abelii (Sumatran orangutan). Its description in RNAcentral is "retained intron". Lineage: Eukaryota; Metazoa; Chordata; Mammalia; Primates; Hominidae. The record is from RNAcentral.